GAGGAUGUAGCUCAAAUUGUAGAGCACUUGCUUAGCAUGCAUGAGGUCCAGGGUUCAAUCCCCAGCACCUCCU
This 73-nucleotide transfer RNA is filed under the name Camelus bactrianus (Bactrian camel). It matches the Rfam family "tRNA". From Rfam's summary of the family: Transfer RNA (tRNA) molecules are approximately 80 nucleotides in length. Their secondary structure includes four short double-helical elements and three loops (D, anti-codon, and T loops). Further hydrogen bonds mediate the characteristic L-shaped molecular structure. tRNAs have two regions of fundamental functional importance: the anti-codon, which is responsible for specific mRNA codon recognition, and the 3' end, to which the tRNAs corresponding amino acid is attached (by aminoacyl-tRNA synthetases). tRNAs cope with the degeneracy of the genetic code in two manners: having more than one tRNA (with a specific anti-codon) for a particular amino acid; and 'wobble' base-pairing, i.e. permitting non-standard base-pairing at the 3rd anti-codon position. The record is from Rfam by way of RNAcentral. RNAcentral also lists the same sequence under 2 other names. Lineage: Eukaryota; Metazoa; Chordata; Mammalia; Artiodactyla; Camelidae.